AAAUCAAUUAAGAAGAAGAAGAAAAAAGAUGGUAUAUUCUUAUACCUAGAAUAUUACUCAGCCAUAAAAAUGGAAUAGUUGAUCCAAAUAAUAACGUGGAUAGAUAUUAAACAAAAUUUAUAUUGAGCAAAAGAAGCUAUCCCCCAAAGAAUAAUCAAUGCAUUUUUGUAUUCGCAUGAGAUAAUAGAAAUCAGAACAGUAUUUGCUGGGGCGUACACAUCUGGGGUGAUGGAAACAAUCUAUCACAUAGUGGGAGGUAAUGAUGAUUUGGGUAUACACAUCUGCCAAAACUUAAUGAACUUCAUAACUAAGAUGUGUCCACUUUAUUAUAUGAAAAUUGCAACUCAAUUAAAAUUACUAAGCAUAAAAGUUUGUGGGAAUGAUAAGAGCUUUCACUGAGGCUACUUCAACCAGAAAGCAUAGCAGUUGGCCAGUGCCUGGCAUGGGGGACCAGAGUUUUGGUAUAAAAAACAUGUCUGAUUAUAACAUGACUUUCCUUUCGUAUAAAAUUGGAGCUAUUGACCUCUUCUUAUGAUAGUGCUAUUAGGAUUAAAUAAUACAACAUAGGCGAAAAUUUUCUCCUGUGUUUCAAAGGCAUUUGAAUUAUUUAAUUUAUUUUAGUUCUCUUCUUCACUUCUGUCCUGAAUCUCAAGUUCACAAUCCUAAGCGAAUUAGUUUAGACCAUUUAGAUAACACAUUCAAUGUUUCAUCCCUUUGUCGGACUGCCUUAAAGCCAGCAGCUCUCUGCCCUGUCCCCAAGGCUCUCCCCUGCAUUUUUUAAUUCUCUGGUGUCAAAGGCAAUUCUCAAGUGAAAUAAACCCUCAUGUUGCCCUACCUGAACUUCUGGGAGCCAUAAGGAGAAGAAUAAAGAGCGGAAGAGAGAGUAUAAACCAGCAUUAAAUGCCAGGGGCGUUGGCUGCCUCUCUCCCAGUGGCCACAUCUGUGCCAGGGGACUCUGCUCCUCAACUGCUGACUGACCCAGAGCAGAGCCAACUGUCCCCAGUUGGAUCGCUCUGUCUCUUGGGAAUGUCACGUGAGAACAGAGAGACACUGGAGAUGAAUCACAUUAAUGACACCAACCUGCUGGGAGAGACCGCCCAGUUCUGUACCAGUGUCUAGAGAGCCCUUCCUGAGUCUCAGAUCUAAAACUCAUCGUCUGAUUCCUUGCACUACCUCCCCCAACAUGUGAGUUCGGUGACUUUCGACCUAAAGAACCAGAACUAUGAUAAAUCCAAAAGUCUCCUCUUCAUUUCUCAAAAUCUUUGUUCCUUCUGGAUCUUCUACAUUCAAAAUCUGUUUACUUCCCGUCUUUUCCCACUUACUUCUAACACCCAGAGAAAGGAAUCAGACAAUACCUUUCAGACCCUCCUGGCGGGAUGCAGUCUCUCAGCCGUGCAACUCGCUGGAGGUCCUCCGCAUCCGACGAUGUUACUCAACGCACCCUCCCCAAUCUUCCUGAGGCUAUUAAAUUGACAUGAGAAUGUGGGAGACUCUGGGGCCAAAACCCUAUGAAUAUUUGACGAAUAGCUCUCUUUUCAUGUCCUGUUUGAAGAAUAUUUUUCUUUUUAUGUUCUUUCCUUCCUUCUAAUUAGUUUAUUUUCUGUGGAGUGCUGGAAAGCAAAGUCAUUCUGUUAACAUAUAUUAAAAUGUGUCCCUGAUGUUUGAAGAAUUAUUUUCAAUAACAUCUGUAAUUUUCUGUCGUUCUGGGUAGUGUGGUGGAAAAAUUCAAAUAAGAAAAAUUCAAGUUAAUGUCUUUUGGAGUUUUUUACAGACUUUUGGUAUAUGUAAAUCUGGAUUCAGUAAAUAUUUAUUAGGCUCUUUUGUGUGCAGAGCAUUGUGUAAUGUUAAUACUAGCUCACUGUUACUCCUAGUAAUAACAAUAAUAGUAAUGGCUGCUAUUAUUUAAAUGAGUAGUCAGUAUACUAAUUCUAUUAUUUUAUUUAAUCCUUACAGCAAUUCCAAAAGGUGGAUAUUAUCAUAAAAUCCAUUUUUUAAGAAGAGAAGCAGCUUUAGACAAAGGAAGUAACUUAAGUUCAUACAGUACAUGGUAGAAACAGACUUUGAGCCCGGUUUUAAUUGACUCCAGUUUUGUUUUUAACUCCUGUGGCAGAUGCUGUAGGUGCUCCCCCUACAUCUCCUCACCCUGAUGGAUUUCUAACUCCCAGCCCCUGAUUUCUUUUCUCAAAGGCCUGAUUUCACUUUGCCCAUAAUGUGGCUGACUAGGAACACUGGAGAAUUCGUGCCCACUCCCCCUGCAGUCUCCAACAAAGAUGACAAAAGUUUGUGUAGAAAUACCCCAGCUCACUAACCCCUCAGGUGGGCUAACUCCUGGGAGCAUGUUCUUCAUUGUUCUAGAAUUCUCUAGCAGUCCACAGUGAUAGCAAACCCUUAUUGCCUGCUCUGUUUUCCAGGUUCCCUCCUGUAGUCCUCUACUUGUGUUUUCUACUUGCACCUGUAUCCUUGUUGACAAGUCUGUUUCUGGGUGAACCCAAACUAAAAUGACUUCUGCUCUGAACUCUGUUGGAGGACCAGGAUUUACUCCUAGAAAGACAACUGUGAACCCACUGAGAAAAGAUAGAAGUUCCCGUCUCCUUGAUCAAGCGCUUUCUCCAGACUUAUCCCAUCCCAGCAAGCCUGUGUGGACACUUGGUUUGUAGAUUCUGCCAAGGAAGGACCUUUAGGGCAGGGCCUCCGAUCAUCUAGAAGUUGGAGUCCAUCUGUCAAAGACCAGGGUCUUCUGCUGUCACUUACAUCGACUUCCCUAUUGUCUUCCUGAGCACUCUGUUUUGAGAUCUUAGGGCUCCAAGUUCUGUCUAAUACAGUUGGGCAGUGGGCCAGGAAGAGACUCUGACCCCUCAUUGUCUAUGGGAGGCUCUGAAUUCUGCCAGAGCUCAAUAAAGGUAAAACAUCUACAAUGUGCUCGCUGUGAUCACUCAAUAAAGAGCUAUUCGUAGGCUGAAUAAGAGCCCCUCCAAAGAUGUCCACAGCCUGAUCUCCAGGACCUGUGAGUACAUUACCUUACAAAGUGAAAGGGACUUUGCAGAUGUAAAUGAGCUAAGGAUCUUGAGACGGGGAGAUUAUCCUGUAUUAUCCAGGUUGACUUGAUGUAAUCGUAAGGGUCUUUAUAAGGGAGAUGCAGGAGGGUCAAAGUCAAGAAAAAAAGGAUAUGAUGAUAGAAGCAGAGGUAAACGAUGGGCUUUGAAAAUGGAGGAAAGGACCAUCAACCAAGAAAUGAAAGUGGCUUCUAGAAGCUGGAAAAGUCAAGGAAACAGAUUUUCCGUUACAGACUCCAGGAGGAGUGCAACCCUGCUGACCCAUUCUGGACUGGAAGAUAAUAAGUGGGUGCUGAUUCAGUCCACCCAGUUUGUGGUCAUUCGCUACAGCAGCAACAGGAAAUGAAUGCAUUAGCUCAUAAUGUCAUCUGCACACAGUCUCAAGUCAACGAUAUGUGUCAGUACUGGGUCCAGAAGCAGAAUGCUAAGUGCCAAGAGUCAGGGCUUUAAGGUGAGAUGUCCUGAAUUUGAAUCUUGGCAUGGCCAUUUACUGGCUCCAUGAUCUUGGAUGUGUUAGUUACAUUCUAUGCAUCCUAAAUUCCUCAUUUGUGGCUUGGGGAUCACACCAGUUGUCUCCUAGUUUUAUUGUGAUUGUAUAAUAUAUCAAAAAAUCUUAGAGCAGGGCAUUUGCAUUAUGCAUUUGCUUUAUUCUCGUUUCAUUUUUUCCCCUUCUGUCAGUCAGUAAGAAGCAUAUUUUUCUGUAUUCCUUUAUGGAGGCACCAGAAUUUUUGCUGAAAUUCUCAAUGGCAUGAUCCCUUUGUUGGUUAUGACUGAAAAAGCUCUUAGUCUAGCAUUUCGUAAAGAUAAGAAGGUUAGUUGAGAAAAAUCAUACCUAUAUGAUGAAUUGAAUCGUUUGUAAAUUUUCUCCUGUAAGUAUGAUCUGACAAAUGUACACAAUCACCAGCUUCUCCUUUCUCAGUUCCCGAUGCUCUGCGUCUGUAUCAUCUCCAACCUCACGAGUCCAUCUUGGGACUGCUGGUUACUCUAUUUCUGGUAUCUUAACUGAGGCCAUGGUCAUAGAAUUCUCCAACUGCCAAGUUGCAGGGGCUCACAGUUCCACCCUCACUGCCUUUGUGCAGUGGUGUUUCUAUGUGCUUCGUGAAAAUCCACGCAUGUGGAACUUGUAGAAUUUUCCCAUUUCCCGUGUACUGUCCUCCCCCUGUGACUACUCCCGUGGUCUCUGCUCCCUUCUUCUGUGGGAGGAACUUCAUUUGCAGCCUCAGUAACAGGAGAGAAAAAUGAUACCUUUUGGGAUAAGCCACAUAUUCAAGACUCUGUUCAGUUCUCAGAAGCACUUUUCCUGCUACAGUUUCCUGUCCCCGGUAUCACUGCCCCAGAGCUCAGUUGAAUUGCUUUCUGUCUGAGGCUCCCCUGAUAAGGCCAUUCAGGUUCCCUAGAUGUGAAUCUCAAAAUAGGUCGCUCUCUCAUACCUGCAAGAAGAUUCAGCCUCUGGCAUUUAGCUUUGAUUCAUCUGACAAACAUGCACUGAUACUCCCCAGUGCAGAGGAGCCCUGAGCAAAGGGCUGAGGGCAGGUCAGAGCAUUAGCACUGUUACCUCCUUCCAGGAUGUUCCUUCCCAUCUGCAGGGCCAGGACAGGAGAACAAAUGCAGGCCCACAUCCCGUAUGUCUAAAUACUUAAAAGUUAGAAAGCAAAGAAUAAACUAUUUAAAUAUUUUAUAUUCCCUACCUAUUUCUUGCAUAUCUUCAGUACCAGGGAUUAGAACAAGAUGGACUCUCAUUAAGUAUCGCAAAAUUUUCCCUUAUUAUGUAAUAAUUUACUGCAUUCAUGCCAUCUGAAAGGAAAGAUGUGAUAAAGUAAUUAAUCUGUCUUUUCUUAACACUUCCUCUGCUGAACUCCUCCUCAGAUUCUGAAGCAGCAUCCAUGUUCAAAGUCAGACAUUGGCAUAACCCACAACCUUCAAGUCACUUGGAUGCAGUCAUCUCUUCUUCAAGGUUGGAAGGCAUGAGCCAUGGGGAGCAUUUCCCUGGGGCCUGAAUAGUAUGAAUCCUGAGAGAGGCUGUCUGUGGCUAAGAGUUGCACUGUGUCAGCAUGAAGCUCUGCACUGCAAGGAAAAGAGGCAUCUUUGUUUCCUUUAACAUAUUUGUGUGUAUGUGUUUGUGUGUGUGUUUGUGCUUUAAGGGAUCCUCUAAAGCACAAAGCAUGGAGGUCUGCGCAAAAACCCCUCCUUGCUAAGGUUUGAAGACUACACUUUUCCAGGUUUUUAUAAUCUAGUUGAACAAAGAAGAAUUAGGAAUAUAGAACCAUUAUGAAGCAGCACAAGACAGCACAAGACACGGCACGACUUAGUUAACAAGUAGUGGCAAGGACAAUAGCUUUUU
Equus caballus (horse) is the source of this 5394-nucleotide non-coding RNA. The record is from RefSeq and is a predicted model, not a curated record. NCBI's taxonomy places the organism in Eukaryota, Metazoa, Chordata, Mammalia, Perissodactyla, Equidae.